AUGCAGCCACUCAGUCACUCACACAGGAACGGUUUUCCCGUUCCUUUCUUCGGUUUGGCUCUUGUGCUACUGGUUUGCUUGGAUUCUCCCACCAGUUCCUGCACAGACCAGGAGAAGAGCUCCCUACUCCAGCUCCUCACUGGGCUCUCGAGCGAUGGUGGCCUCACAGCAUCGUGGCGAAUCGACACGGACUGUUGCACGUGGGAAGGGAUCACCUGCAACCAAGAUAGGAUAGUCACUGAUGUUUCGCUGGCAUCUCGAGGCCUUAAGGGGUCCAUCUCGCCGUUCCUUGGCAACCUCACUGGCCUUUUGCGCCUCAACCUGUCCCAGAACUCGCUGUCUGGUGGGUUGCCACUGGAAUUAGUGUCAUCCAGCAGCAUCCUUGUUCUUGAUGUCAGCUUCAACUGCCUGACAGGAGGCCUGAGUGAGUUGCCAUCUUCAACCCCUGCACGGCCUCUGCAGGUACUGAACAUCUCAAGUAACUUUUUUACAGGAAGGUUUCCAUCCACAACAUGGGAGGUGAUGAAGAGCCUGGUCGUGCUUAAUGCUAGCACCAACAGUUUCACUGGGCAGAUACCCACUACGCCCUGUGUUAGCGCACCAUCUUUUGCUGUGCUUGAACUCAGUUUCAACCAACUCAGUGGAAACAUCCCUCCAGGACUCGGUAAUUGCUUGGCGUUGAAAUUGCUCAGUGCUGGCUACAACAACCUCAAUGGGACGCUUCCAGAUGAACUCUUUAAGGUCAGGUCGUUACAGUACAUCUCGUUACCUAACAAUCGGUUAGAAGGAGCGCUGAAUGGCAUCAUCAACCUCACAAAUCUUGUCACCCUUGAUCUUGGGAAGAAUGAGCUCAGUGGAAAUAUUCCAGAUUCCAUAGGUGAGCUGAAGAGAUUGGAAGAGAUCCAUUUGGGCCACAACAACAUGUCAGGGGAGCUGCCAUCAGCUCUGAGCAACUGCACAAAUCUCAUAACGGUUGACCUCAAGGCAAACCAAUUCAGCGGAGAACUUACCAAAGUCAACUUUGUAAGCCUGUCCAAGCUAAGAAAAUUAGAUCUUGUUUUCAACGACUUCACUGGCACAAUUCCAGAAAGCAUAUACUCCUGCAGCAAGCUGACUGCAUUAAGGCUAUCUUAUAAUCAUUUCCAUGGCCAAUUGUCAGAAAAGAUAGGCAAUCUGAAGUCUCUCCGCUUUCUAUCACUUGUUAACCUCUCCCUUACAAAUAUCAAGAGAACACUUCAGAUCCUUGAGAGUUCCAGGAGCCUCAACACCCUUUUUAUUGGGUUCAACUUCCUGCAUGAGACCAUGCCAGAGGAUGACAGCAUUGAUGGUUUUGAGAAUCUUCAAGUUCUUUCUAUGAGUUAUUGUUCAAUGUCUGGAACAAUACCUGAUUGGUUAUCAAAGCUAACAAACUUGGGGAUGUUAUUUUUGCAAGGCAAUCAACUAACUGGACCAAUACCUGACUGGAUUAGCACCCUAAACUUUCUCUUCCAUCUAGACAUAUCAAACAACAGUUUUACAGGGGAAAUUUCAACUGCCUUAGCGGAGAUGCCAAUGCUAAAAUCAGAUAAGAUUGCAGCAAAGGCCUUCUUUGAGCUGCCUGUUUAUGUUUUCAGUCCAUUUAUCCAAUACAUCAACGCUGGUGCAUGUCCGAAAGUGCUUAAUCUAGCCGUCAAUAAAUUCACUGGUGUGAUCCCGGGGGAGAUGGGCCAAUUAAGAGCACUCGUUUCACUUAAUUUGAGCUACAACAAAUUAUCAGGAGAAAUCCCACAACCGAUCUGCAACCUCACGAACCUGCAGAUGCUCGACUUGUCCAGCAAUCAUCUUACUGGUACAAUUCUGGCCGCACUAAACAAUCUACACUUUCUUUCCAAAUUCAACAUUUCUGAUAAUGACCUCGAAGGCCCUAUUCCAACUGUGGGCCAGCUUAGCACGUUUCCAGAUUCUAGCUUUGAUGGAAACCCAAAAUUGUGUGGUCCUAUGAUUGUCAACCAUUGCGGUUCAGCAGAAGCAGGUCCAGAGUCCAUCAUCUCUAGAGAACAGAUUGGCAGUAAGGUCAUCUUUGCGAUCUCCUUUGGUGCUUUCUUUGGAGUGGGAGUUCUAUAUGAUCAGAUGGUCUUAGCGAGAUAUUUCGGCUAA
RNAcentral lists this ribosomal RNA (2136 nucleotides) under Triticum aestivum (bread wheat). RNAcentral's name for it is "partial small subunit ribosomal RNA". Lineage: Eukaryota; Viridiplantae; Streptophyta; Magnoliopsida; Poales; Poaceae. The record is from RNAcentral.